RNAcentral lists this ribosomal RNA (254 nucleotides) under uncultured bacterium. RNAcentral describes it as "partial 16S ribosomal RNA". It matches the Rfam family "Bacterial small subunit ribosomal RNA", at positions 524 to 776 of the family's 1533-position model. The record is from RNAcentral.
UACGUAGGGUGCGAGCGUUGUCCGGAAUUAUUGGGCGUAAAGGGCGCGUAGGCGGCCACCGCAAGUCAGUUGUGAAAGCUCUGGGCUUAACCCAGAAAGGUCAACUGAUACUGCGGGGCUAGAGUGCAGAAGGGGCAACUGGAAUUCUCGGUGUAGCGGUGAAAUGCGUAGAUAUCGAGAGGAACACCUGCGGCGAAGGCGGGUUGCUGGGCUGACACUGACGCUGAAGUGCGAAAGCUAGGGGAGCGAACGGG